UACGGCGGUCAUAGCGUGGGGGAAACGCCCGGUCCCAUACCGAACCCGGAAGCUAAGGCCCAUUGCGCCGAUGGUACUGCACUCGUGAGGGU
This 92-nucleotide ribosomal RNA is filed under the name Glutamicibacter sp. HZAU. Lineage: Bacteria; Bacillati; Actinomycetota; Actinomycetes; Micrococcales; Micrococcaceae. The record is from RNAcentral.